GCAAGNUAUCAAGGGAUAAACGCACAGCGAGCAGAGAUGCGNCAGCNUCUAAGCCAGCACAAGAAGAUUAGUAGGAAACGUUCGUGCGACGGUAUAUACAUCCNAGACUUGCAUACAGAUUUUCCCCCAUCGGGGGUUUUGGAAAUUCUCUNAAUUGAGUUCCAACNUCAGAGUAGAUNGACGACGCGAUGACACCCCGCGGGGUCGUAUCGGUAAAAUCUGUAUGGUCGAUAGGGAUANCCAAGAUGACAUACGCAAACGACAGAUUGAACCGACGGANAAUCGGCCAUUAACGGGCAAUGACUANGACACGAGACAGAGCUGGUGUANGAGAGUAGANAANCAAACUCCAGCGUAUC
RNAcentral lists this ribosomal RNA (359 nucleotides) under uncultured bacterium. Its description in RNAcentral is "partial 16S ribosomal RNA". The record is from RNAcentral.